This 468-nucleotide ribosomal RNA is filed under the name uncultured bacterium. Its description in RNAcentral is "partial 16S ribosomal RNA". It matches the Rfam family "Bacterial small subunit ribosomal RNA", at positions 28 to 507 of the family's 1533-position model. The record is from RNAcentral.
GACGAACGCUGGCGGCGUGCUUAACACAUGCAAGUCGAACGGAAAGGCCCUGCUUUUGUGGGGUGCUCGAGUGGCGAACGGGUGAGUAACACGUGAGUAACCUGCCCUUGACUUUGGGAUAACUUCAGGAAACUGGGGCUAAUACCGGAUAGGAGCUCCUGCUGCAUGGUGGGGGUUGGAAAGUUUCGGCGGUUGGGGAUGGACUCGCGGCUUAUCAGCUUGUUGGUGCGGUAGUGGCUUACCAAGGCUUUGACGGGUAGCCGGCCUGAGAGGGUGACCGGCCACAUUGGGACUGAGAUACGGCCCAGCCUCCUACGGGAGGCAGCAGUGGGGAAUAUUGCACAAUGGGCGGAAGCCUGAUGCAGCAACGCCGCGUGCGGGAUGACGGCCUUCGGGUUGUAAACCGCUUUCGCCUGUGACGAAGCGUGAGUGACGGUAAUGGGUAAAGAAGCACCGGCUAACUACGUG